AAAGGUUUAGUCCUAACCUUACCGUUAGUUCUUGCUAGAUAUAUACAUGCAAGCAUCCGCGCUCCAGUGAAAAUGCCCACAAGUCCUUGCCAAAGGCGCAAGGAGCAGGCAUCAGGCACACAAACAUGUAGCCCAAGACGCCUUGCUCAGCCACACCCCCACGGGUACUCAGCAGUAAUUAACAUUGAGCUAUGAGCGAAAGCUUGACUCAGUUAUAGCAACGCAGGGCCGGUAAAUCUUGUGCCAGCCACCGCGGUCACACAAGAGACCCAAACUAAUCGCACACGGCGUAAAGAGUGGUGUUACACUAUCAUAGCAACUAGGGACAAAGUGUCACUAAGCUGUCAUAAGCCCAAGUCACAUACAAGCCCACCUAUCAAGAUGACCCUAAUACCCACGACCAACUAAACUCCACGAAAGCCAGGGCCCAAACUGGGAUUAGAUACCCCACUAUGCCUGGCCCUAAAUUUUGAUGCUUACCGUACCUAAAGCAUCCGCCCGAGGACUACGAGCACAAACGCUUAAAACUCUAAGGACUUGGCGGUGCCCCAAACCCACCUAGAGGAGCCUGUUCUAUAAUCGAUACUCCACGAUACACCCAACCCCUCCUUGCCAAAGCAGCCUACAUACCGCCGUCGUCAGCCCACCUCCCCUGAGAGCAUAACAGUGAGCCCAAUAGCCCCCACUCCGCUAACAAGACAGGUCAAGGUAUAGCCCAUGGAGGGGAAGAAAUGGGCUACAUUUCCUAGAAUAGAAAACCACCACGAAAAGGGGCAUGAAACUCCCCUGGAAGGCGGAUUUAGCAGUAAAGCGGGACGAGAGAGCCCCCUUUAAACCGGCCCUGGGGCACGUACAUACCGCCCGUCACCCUCCUCGCAAGCUUCCCACACCCCCAUAAAUAAUAUGCCCCCUAGCUAAAGAUGAGGUAAGUCGUAACAAGGUAAGUGUACCGGAAGGUGCACUUAGCAUAU
RNAcentral lists this non-coding RNA (971 nucleotides) under Tockus erythrorhynchus (red-billed hornbill). Its description in RNAcentral is "12S ribosomal RNA". It matches the Rfam family "Bacterial small subunit ribosomal RNA". The record is from RNAcentral. Lineage: Eukaryota; Metazoa; Chordata; Aves; Bucerotiformes; Bucerotidae.